This 67-nucleotide transfer RNA is filed under the name Spinactaletes boneti. Its description in RNAcentral is "tRNA-Ser". Lineage: Eukaryota; Metazoa; Arthropoda; Collembola; Entomobryomorpha; Actaletidae. The record is from RNAcentral.
AAGAGUAGAGAAACAAAUCUAAGCUGCUAACUUAAGAUUUAGGCGGUUUGACUCCGUCUUACUCUUU